Molecule: long non-coding RNA, 832 nt
Filed under: Marmota monax (woodchuck)
Lineage: Eukaryota; Metazoa; Chordata; Mammalia; Rodentia; Sciuridae
Source: RNAcentral
GAGGUGACACAAUCUAGUGCUUUCUCCGCACAGGCCUGCAGAGAUUUCCUCAUGUUAGCCCAGACCCACAGUAAAAAGUGGCAGAAGUCACUGCAGUAUGAAAGAGACCAGCGUAUCCGACUGGAAGAAACCCUUGAGCAGCUGGCAAAGCAGCACAACCACCUGGAGAGGGCCUUCCGGGGAGCCACAGUGCUGCCUGCAAACACUCCUGGCAGCGCAGGAUCUGGUAAAGGUAAGACGCUUUGUUCUUGCAUAGCCUGUUCAGAUUUGAGCCAGGUGAUUUUCUGCAAUUGAUAGAAGAGCUCCAAAUUCUCCACAAUUAAUGACUUAUCUGAAGUGGCUUUGGAGCUGUUCAUUUCUUCUGGCUUUUCCACUACUUUACCAUUUGUUGCUAUGUUUGUGGUUGGUACUGAGAAGAACUGCGGUACCAGGCAUUUGAUAAAUAUAACCAGAGAAAACAAAGAAGGCCUUCUCCUCGUAGAUCAGUGCUGCUCUGGGAAAGGAGACAUGAGUGAUGAAGAUGAUGAGAAUGAAUUUUUUGAUGCACCAGAGAUCAUCACCAUGCCUGAGAAUUUGGGCCACAAGUAAGUUAUCCUUUACUGUCAUACCUGAUCAUCAAGAGGUUAGAAACAUUGUUCAAUGUGGGAAUGUUAUAGUUGUCGACAUUUAGUAAAAUCUGGGCUCUUUUCUUUAAGUAAGUGGAAAACUGUCAGCUUUUUACAUGAUGAGUUCUCCAGAGGCAUUUACAGUCAUAUCUAUUUACACCUUUUGAUUAGCCAUCAAUAAGUUUGUGCAGCAUACUUGACAUUCUGCUUUGUAAAAAAAAAAAAAU